This is a non-coding RNA of Xylariomycetidae sp. FL0641, 119 nucleotides long. The record is from the annotation of a GenBank genome assembly. Lineage: Eukaryota; Fungi; Ascomycota; Sordariomycetes.
GGUGAGAUGGCCGAGUUGGUCUAUGGCGCCAGGUUAAGGUUACCUUAACUGGUGACUGCUCUGUCAGUUGCAGUUUCCUGGUGGAGAAAUCCGCGUGGGUUCGAAUCCCACUCUCAUCA